CUUGACACUGAACAUUGAGCCUUGAUGUGUAGGAUAGGUGGGAGGCUUGGAAGUGUGGACGCCAGUCUGCAUGGAGCCGACCUUGAAAUACCACCCUUUAAUGUUUGAUGUUCUAACGUGGACCCGUAAUCCGGGUUGCGGACAGUGUCUGGUGGGUAGUUUGACUGGGGCGGUCUCCUCCUAAAGAGUAACGGAGGAGCACGAAGGUUGGCUAAUCCUGGUCGGACAUCAGGAGGUUAGUGCAAUGGCAUAAGC
RNAcentral lists this ribosomal RNA (255 nucleotides) under Escherichia coli. RNAcentral describes it as "partial 23S ribosomal RNA". It matches the Rfam family "Bacterial large subunit ribosomal RNA", at positions 2110 to 2364 of the family's 2925-position model. The record is from RNAcentral. Lineage: Bacteria; Pseudomonadati; Pseudomonadota; Gammaproteobacteria; Enterobacterales; Enterobacteriaceae.